UUCCUUGUGGCCCAAUGGCAAGGCGUCCGCCUACGAUGUGCUAAUGUCAAAGCGGGAGAUUCCAGGUUCGACCCCUGGCAGGGAAG
Non-coding RNA from Lipomyces mesembrius, 86 nucleotides. Lineage: Eukaryota; Fungi; Ascomycota; Lipomycetes; Lipomycetales; Lipomycetaceae. The record is from the annotation of a GenBank genome assembly.